This 1766-nucleotide ribosomal RNA is filed under the name Prolecithophora cf. Euxinia sp. CEL-2014. RNAcentral's name for it is "SSU rRNA". It matches the Rfam family "Eukaryotic small subunit ribosomal RNA". Lineage: Eukaryota; Metazoa; Platyhelminthes; Prolecithophora. The record is from RNAcentral.
UUAUAUGCUGUCUCAAUGAUUAAGCCAUGCAUGUCUAAGCACAGAUUGUGAGGAUGCAAGCCGCGGAUGGCUCAUUAAAUCAGCUAUAAUUGAUUGGAUAAAUGAAGUUAUUCCUUAAAGGGAUAACUGUGGAAAUUCUAGAGCUAAUACCUGCCACUAUAUCCCAACCCUUCGGGGGCGGGAUGGCUUUAUUAGAUCAAAACCUUCAGCAAGUUUUGAUAACUCUUGAUACAGUGACUAAUCGCGUGACCAUGAGUCAAGUGAUAUAUCCUUUCAAAUGUCUGAGUUAUCAGCUCGAUGGUAGGGUAGCGGCCUACCAUGGCUACGACGACUCACGGGGUGUUUACGCACGACACCGGAGAUUGAGCCUGAGAGACGGCUAAAGCAUCCAUGGAUAGACAGCAGGCGCGAAACUUACUCACUCCCAGGAGCGGGGAAGUAGAGACAAUAAAUAACAACACAUCCAUUGUAUAAUGGGCGUGAUUGGAAUGAGACGAUACUAAAACGAUUAACAAGUAUCGAUUGGAGGGCAAGUCUGGUGCCAGCAGCCGCGGUAAUUCCAGCUCCAAUAGCAUAUAUUAAAGUUGUUGCAGUUAAAAAGCUCGUAGUUGAAUUCCAAGCUAGGUGUCGGUCGCCUUUUCGAAGGAGACCGGCGCCAGGUUCUCAUGGCUUGAAGCUAUUAAUGAUCUUGACUGAUUGUUCUUAGUGAAUGGCAUGUUUACCUUGUUUAAAUUAGAGUGAUCAAAGCAGGCAUAUGUCUGUAUGGUGGAACAUGGAAUAAUGAAAUAAGACUACGGUCUUGUUUUGUUGGUUUAUCGAUCCUAGUAAUGAUUAAAAGGGACUGCCGGGGGCAUCCGUAUACCAGGGGUAGAAGUGAAAUUCGUAGAUCCUUGGUAGACGACCUAUUGCGAAAGCAUUUGCCAAGAAUGUUUUCAUUAAUCAAGAACGAAAGUUAGAGGAUCGAAGACGAUUAGAUACCGUCCUAGUUCUAACCGUAAACUAUGCCAUCUUGUUGUCUGACUCUUCAUUGAUUGGAAGAGGCUUACAUAACCCCCGGGAAACCAAAGUUUUUGGGUCCCGGGGGGAGUAUGGUUGCAAAGCUGAAACUUAAAGGAAUUGACGGAAAGGCACCACCAGGAGUGGAGCCUGCGGCUUAAUUUGACUCAACACGGGAAAACUCACCCGGCCCGGACAUUUCGGGGAAAGACAGAUUGAUAGCUCUUUCUAAAUCAAAAGAAUGGUGGUGCAUGGCCGUUCUUAGUUGGUGGAGUGAUUUGUCUGGUUAAUUCCGAUAACGAACGAGAUUUUAACCUGCUUAUUAGAACACUUGGCCGGAAGGUUGAACAAGUGAAAUAAUGCUUCUUAGAGGUAUCAGUAGCUUUAAAGCUACAAGAGAAAGAGCAAUAACAGGUCUGUAAUGCCCUUAGAUGUCCGGGGCCGCACGCGGGCUACAAUUGGAGUGUCAAUUUGUGGAAUCUUUUCGUCAGCGAAAGCGGGGAAGAAUCCGAAGCACACUUCAAUGUAUCCGUAAAUUGGGAUCAUAGAGGGGACGCUCUAUGUGAACGAGGAAUUCCCAGUAGAGAUGCGUCAUCAACGUAUCUCGAUUACGUCCCUGCCUUUUGUACACACCGCCCGUCGCUACUACCGAUUGAAUGGUUAAGUGAGGUUAUCGGAUUUGUGCCGGUGGUCAUUUCGGUGACUACUAGUGUGGAGAAGAUGACCAAACUUAUCCAUUUAGAGGAAGUAAAAGUCGUAACAAGGUUUUC